This 401-nucleotide long non-coding RNA is filed under the name Helianthus annuus (common sunflower). The record is from RNAcentral. Lineage: Eukaryota; Viridiplantae; Streptophyta; Magnoliopsida; Asterales; Asteraceae.
AUGUUCACGAUUACUUCCUUCGAGGGUAAGAAAACCCUUUUCGUUUCUUCAAAGUCUGAUGAACAACAGUUAAAAUUUUCAAUUUUUAUUAAAAUAAAAGAAGAUCAUGUGUGGAAGAAAAGAGUUGCAGAGCAUAUGGGUUUUUUUUGAACGAGGACUUUCAUGAACAUCAGGUCAAUGAAGGUGUUCAUUAUCGGUUUAGUAAAUUUGUAGAGAAAUGCUUUGUAAGAUUUCUUUUGUAAAACAUAUUUACAUACAAUUUAAUCAAGAGUAUCCGUGAUUUAGUUAUUCACAAUUCACAUUAUUUAUUUUAUUGAGCACCUUGCGAUUCUGAUUAUCAUAGCCCAAUUGGAGAAAGGUUACUAUGUAGCUGGAGUUUUGUUUGAAGUCCUUUGCUCGGU